Homo sapiens (human) is the source of this 1732-nucleotide long non-coding RNA. Ensembl annotates it as long intergenic non-protein coding RNA 1778. The record is from Ensembl. Lineage: Eukaryota; Metazoa; Chordata; Mammalia; Primates; Hominidae.
ACUGCGCCCUUGUUUGGACAAGACGAGGAGGCGCACUCAGAGUCAGAGACCCCGGGGCAGAGACAGGGGCAAGAAGAAGGGGCCACCGAGACCCCAAGAGAGUCAGGGAGACAGACGCACCAAACGACCGACACAACCAGGGACAGGCUGGAGUGAAAUGACAUGAUCUCAGCUCACUGAAACUUCUGCCUCCCAGGUUCAAGCAAUUCUCCUGCCUCAGCCUCGCGAGUAGCUGGGAUUACAGAUAUCCUUCGAGUUGGAUUUCGACUGGGUUCUGCCAGUGGGAUGUAUCCAUGCGAGAUUCUGGAACUAACAUCAGAGAGAGUCCAAGCUUCUAACUUUUAUCAGCGGCAGUGACAAUAGUCAAGCAGCAUUGAUGACAAACGGCAAGAGUUUAGAAAGUACCAGUGACGUGCCUGAUAGAAUCUCACCACAAGAUGGAAGCCAACUCGUCAGAAGCCUGGAAAGCCCACCCAGCGUGGGACCUCUGUGGGUCCAGGAUCUUGGAAUGGUAUCCCAUGGUUCAAUCUUCUGGAUUCAACCACAUAAAUUUACCCCACCCAUGUCGUGGACCCAAGCUUCCUACCAUGUAUACUUAGCUUAAAUGCAAGAUAGUACUAUUUUGUUCAUCUUGAUUGGAGUGAGAAAUGAAUAGGUCCAUGCACAUAUAUUUCUUUUACCACAACAAGAUGAUGAAGAAAUAAAUCCAUAAUAUCGAUACUUUUGUAUAAGUUGUGUUUACAGUUGCGGUAAGAAAUUUUAUAAUUGUUGAUUUGCUUUAUAUAAUUUCUGCUUGCUUUUUAUGAUAUUUAAAACAAAAUCUAAGCAACAAAUUUUAUGUCUGAUUAGAUUUACAGAAGCUGCUUAAGUGCUUAGGGAUAAUUUGUUCAUCAUAUUUGUAAGUCUCCCUUGUUAGGUGUUUGAAGUGUUUGAAUUGGCUAAAUUAAAUUUGUAAUUGUAGUUUGAAAUAUCUAAAGGAAUUUUCUUAAUUAAGUGUUUAAAUGAUGUUAAAAGUUUGUGGGAAUUUAAUCUAUCAAAUUUAUGAGUUAAUUGAAUAUGAAUCAAUGAACAAGUAAAUGUGAUCUUGCUUUUAUAUAAAAACUACUAAGUUCAUAAAUAAAAUACAAAGAUCCAUAAGUUGAGAGGAAAAGCAAAAGAGCCAGAUUCUAAGAUCUAUAACUUAAAAAAAUUAAAUAUUGAUUGAAAUGUAAGUCAUUGCAAUUAUCCCCACUAGCUGAAAUCUCACAUCUGAGUGCUUACACACAAAACAAAAUGUUACCCUGAACAUACUAAACAAAUAAAAAACCACGUGGUAAUUACUAUACACAUGCUCACUGCUGGAAGCAUUCAUACUGCACUCAAAUCCAGGUGGGAGAAUGCAGCGUGUGCUACAGGUGAAUCUCGGCUGUUCUCUUAUGGGGAUCAGGUCUUUUUCUUAAUUAUCUUCCACGGAUUUUUCUUCCUUUACCCAGAGACCUGGAGGCCCUCCCAGCCCAGGUCCAAUUCAGAUGGAUACAUACUUAACAUCACUAACCUAUUGAUUUGCUUGUUUAUUUACACUGCAGCACAUGUUUGUUGUGGUGCAGAAGGAAAACCUCCUUCACAUCUUAUACUGAAUAAUAUCAAUGCACAGAAACCUACCCACUGAUUGUUUGCUUAGGGUUAAGUUACUGGGUGAUUUUAAAAUAAUAACAAUGUUUUUAUUUGCUUCCAUUAAAACGCUUUGUUUUAG